GUGCCAAUAGAAAUGGAUUAAGUUUUUAAGCAAUGGGAUAACUGUGGCUACAUUCAAAUAAAAUGAAAAAAAGGGCUGGUUAAGUUCCCUUACCUUCAAGUUUUGGACUUGGUGAGGACAUCCAGCAGGAAUGAAAACUGCUUCACCAAGCUUCUGCUCAAAUGUCCAGGGUUCCACACCUAUAUAACAAGCAUGCCAUGACAUAAGGGAAACAAGGCUACAGCACGAAAGGCUACAUUUCUGAGGAAAAACAGGGGAAAUAAACUCCCCACGAGUGCAAGGAAAACAAUACCUGCUUCACAGGAUUGCAAUGGAGGUUCCGGAAUUCCAAGGUGUGUUUCUUAAGAUAAUCUUGUAGCUUGUCAGCAUCCUCUCUUCGGAAAAUAUCCCACAAGGCACCACCAGUUCUCUCAUGCUCUCCACUCUCCGGAUUAUCCGAAAUACAAUGAGCUCCAUUAUGCAUCAUAGCCGAACUACCAUUGCCAAUGUAAUUGGAACACUGGGCUGCCUUGCUUUGUACCUUAGAUUCAUGAGAUGGAUGUUUAUCCCUAACAUCACCUUCACUAUCAAUAGGUGUUACAGCGUUGGUGUCCAGACCUGCACAGUGAAAACAAGAAUGUUGUAUUAAGUUAAAAAGUAAGGACAACUGAAAGUAAACAUGUACAACUCACCAUCAGAAAUAUCUUUACAGAUACUAUCA
This is a long non-coding RNA of Panicum virgatum (switchgrass), 700 nucleotides long. RefSeq lists it as uncharacterized. Lineage: Eukaryota; Viridiplantae; Streptophyta; Magnoliopsida; Poales; Poaceae. The transcript has 2 exons. The record is from RefSeq and is a predicted model, not a curated record.